GGAUUCCAGUGAGUGGCCAGUGACUAUUGCCCUGUUCCUCCUUUUUCUCAGUCUUCUCUAUUGGUAUUCUGUUUACCCGUUUUCUGUGCUGUCAGAAUGUGGCAUCAAACAUCCCAAACCUUUGCCCUUUUUGGGGAACAUUUUUCUAUUUCGUGAGGGUUUCUUUAAUGCUUUGACGGAUCUCAUAAAAACACAUGGACGAGUUUGUGGGUA
Boleophthalmus pectinirostris (great blue-spotted mudskipper) is the source of this 213-nucleotide long non-coding RNA. RefSeq lists it as uncharacterized. Lineage: Eukaryota; Metazoa; Chordata; Actinopteri; Gobiiformes; Gobiidae. The record is from RefSeq and is a predicted model, not a curated record. The transcript has 3 exons.